This 453-nucleotide ribosomal RNA is filed under the name Triticum aestivum (bread wheat). RNAcentral's name for it is "partial small subunit ribosomal RNA". Lineage: Eukaryota; Viridiplantae; Streptophyta; Magnoliopsida; Poales; Poaceae. The record is from RNAcentral.
AUGAUGUUUACCAAUGGGAUCGUCAAGUUGGAGGCCAGCUUGGACGACUGCGGUGUCCUCGUGUUCACUCCCCACUGGUUGUAUAUGCAAAGCAAGAUGGUCAUAGAGAACCACUACUGGCCGGGUCACGAAGAUCCAAAUGCCCAUGCCGUGUACAUUCUUGAGCUACGUGGCAAGCUUGUGGUGGCGACUAGGAGGACCUGGGGCCCAUCGCCGUGGUCGUUGAACAUCAGCGGCCCUUAUUUCUCAGUUUUUGAGCUCGUUGUUGAUGAUACUCAAGGAACAAUGCCACAUCGUAUGUACAAGUGGGAAGAGUUGACAAGCCUGGGUGACUAUGCUUUGUUUUUGAGUCCCAUGUGUGCCAAGGCGAUUCACGUGUCGACCGGUGAGCGUGACGGCCUGCGGAGAAACCACAUCUACUACUCCCAUCAUACAUCCUACAAACAUAUAUAA